UUGAAAGUUACUAAUAAAACGCAAGGUUUGUUGCAUAAUUGUGGAUUUAGAUUUUUUAAAUUUUGAAUUUUACUUUAAAGAAUAAAGUAUAAUUUAUCACAAUUUAUUUGAUAGGUGGAUCCAAAAAAAAUAUAAAAAAAAUAUUUAAUAAUAAAAAAUUUCAAAUUUAGAAAAUCCAAAUUUGAUUUCAACAUUGAUAACAUUGUUUGUUUUCACUAUUCCUAAUAACAAUGCAGCAUUUAUCAUUUAAGAGUUGGAAUCUUCUUCUUCGCGCUUCAGAGUCUGAGACUCAUCUUCUUCUUCGUGUUGAACUGCAGGGUCACUGUGUUGAAUUCGCUCUCCUCUAUUUUUUUUCUUCUUUUUUGAAUUGUAAAUUAACACACAAUUCACUAUUUCUAAUUAUAUUAUUGUGCUCGUUCAAUACUAAAACCAUUCGAUUCUUGCGACUGAUUCGAAUCGCUGGUGUACUGUCUCGUAUCUAAUUGACUACCAUGUUAAUAAUAAUAAGAAGAAGGUGAAGACUUAUUAAUCAAAUAAUGUAGUUAAUUUUUUAAAUUACCUAAAAUUUUUUAAAUAUCAAAUUCACAAGACCAUGUGAGUUUCUAGCUAAUAAUAAUAAUAAUAAGUUAAUAACCAGAAUUUUUCCUAGACAUUUGAAAAUAUGAAAUCCUAGUACUCAAUAAUAAGUUAAUAACCAGAGUUUUUCCUCUUUAACGUUCAAAAUGAAAUCCAACUCAAAGUUCAAAUCAGAACAACGAAGUACAAAGAAAAAACAAUUUUAAACUGUACUUUGUCAUUGGUCAGUAUAAUUCUAAUUCCAAUUACUACCAAACAAGACGUAUAACUAUUCUGAAAAAAAUGCAAAUGCAUCAAGAUAAACGAACUUUCAAGCACAAUUACCACUCGUAUGAGUACAUGACACAUCCAAGAAUCAGAAAAAUCCAACAACACGGAAGAGAGAGAGAGAAGAAAAAGAAAAAAGUCAAAAAGUCAAACCAAACAAUGCAUUAGAUCCAAUAAGAUCACCAAUCACCACACUUCCCAGAUCUUCAAGAUAUUCUAUAAAAACUAAAAAGCUUCGAAUUUAAGGACCCAAUGAAGAAGCAAAACAAACGCACUCAUCAAACUCUUACCUUGCUAACCACCAAUGGCAAAGCACGGGACCAUGAAGAA
This 1173-nucleotide long non-coding RNA is filed under the name Arachis ipaensis. RNAcentral's name for it is "long non-coding RNA (AIPA_LNC001915)". The record is from RNAcentral. Lineage: Eukaryota; Viridiplantae; Streptophyta; Magnoliopsida; Fabales; Fabaceae.